RNAcentral lists this ribosomal RNA (433 nucleotides) under uncultured bacterium. RNAcentral's name for it is "partial 16S ribosomal RNA". It matches the Rfam family "Bacterial small subunit ribosomal RNA", at positions 29 to 507 of the family's 1533-position model. The record is from RNAcentral.
AACGAACGCUGGCGGCAUGCCUAACACAUGCAAGUCGAACGAGACCUCCGGGUCUAGUGGCGCACGGGUGCGUAACGCGGGGGAACCUGCCCUUAGGUUCGGAAUAACUCCCCGAAAGGGGUGCUAAUAACGGAUAAUGUCUUCGGACCAAAGAUUUAUCGCCUUUGGAUGGGCCCGCGUUGGAUUAGCUGGUUGGUAGGGUAAAAGCCUACCAAGGCGACGAUCCAUAGCUGGUCUGAGAGGAUGAUCAGCCACACUGGGACUGAGACACGGCCCAGACUCCUACGCGAGGCAGCAGUGGGGAAUACAGGACAAUGGGCGAAAGCCUGAUCCAGCAAUGCCGCGUGAGUGAUGAAGGCCUUAGUGUUGUAAAGCUCUUUUACCCGGGAUGAUAAUGACAGUACCGGGAGAAUAAGCUCCGGCUAACUCCGUG